Molecule: long non-coding RNA, 5931 nt
Filed under: Olea europaea (common olive)
Lineage: Eukaryota; Viridiplantae; Streptophyta; Magnoliopsida; Lamiales; Oleaceae
Description: long non-coding RNA (OEUR_LNC004648)
Source: RNAcentral
GAUUUCUCCUUGUGUCUUUUGGGUUUUCUACAAAGCUUUUCCUGAUCUUGGGCUUCCUACAAGUGAAUAUCCCGCUCCCUUUGCUACUGUCUACUAUAGCAUGGCUAAACUUGGGGUUGAAGGCUUCUCAGCUCUACCGAAGGAAUGCCUCAAGCUAUGUUACGGAUUCUUUGCUGCAUCCAUUUUCAUCAACUUAAUAAGAGAUGCUUUGGGAAAGAAACGUUCGUGGUUUAUACCACUUCCAAUGGCAAUGGCGAUACCAUUUUAUUUGGGUUCCUAUUUUGCCAUUGAUAUGUGUGCUGGUAGCCUCAUACUUUUUGUGUGGCAGAAGAUAAACAGAGCCAAGGCAGAUGCCUUUGGUCCUGCAGUAGCUUCUGGUUUGAUUUGUGGAGAUGGCAUCUGGACUUUGCCUAGCUCUAUACUAGCUCUAGUCGGGGUGAAACCUCCAAUCUGCAUGAAAUUCCUGUCGAGGGCUACAAACACUAAGGUAGAUAAGUACUUGGGAUCCUAGAUAUGCUGGGGGUAAAAAUUAAUUUGUAUCCGAACAAGUAUUGCCUUCAUAAACCAAAAAGGAUUAUCCUGUAUGGAUAAAUAAGAGAUUAAAUUUAUGCACUCCAUUCCUAUGUUUCAAGUCUUCUACAAUAUACCCUAUAAAAAGGAUUUCAAGUUAUCCGAUGUAGAUUUUAAAAAUACACCACAACUUUUAGAGUAGCUUUAUACAAUUUUUAGAUACUAUUACUGCUUACCGAAAGAAGAUGAAGAUAGCUUGUAGACAGCCAUGGCUAUCAAACUGAAACAAAUUCACUUAUCUACCUUGUACAAAUAAAAUUGAAUCUUAAAUAAAAUAUGAAAAUGUUAAACAGUGUAGUAGCUGAAAGAGUUUUCGUAAAAAUCACAAUGGAGUUAUGCCAGUUCUUAUCCAUGUCUUGUCUUAAUUCUUGGGCAGGGAGGAUAUCUGCCAGCUACAAAACUGCAUUCAUUUUCCGAUAGCUCGGUGGGGCUAUCCUAACUUUGGUCACAAUUUUAUUCACCACUAUAAAUAGACUAGUCGGUCACGUCUUUCCAUCUGCUCACUGAUUCAGAAUUAGAGAUAUGGCUAUGCUCAAUGCUACGCUUCAUUGCAUCCAAGAAGGGAUUUGCCUAAAACCAACUUUAACACCAUAAUUUAAAUCUUAAGAAACCAGCCAUAUUUUCCAACAUAUUUACCUCAUAUAUUGCCAUAAUUAAUUCAACAGAUACUUCCACAGAUUCUCAUAAAUAGUUGUGGAAUGUACAGUUAGGGAAAAAAUCAACGGAAAUAAUGAAUUUUCUUGUAAAGUAGGACCCAAUAUUUUAAAAUUUUGUUAGGGUCAAGUCUCGAGUGUAACAUUUUUCAAUGCUCAAAAAUUUCCAGGAUCCUGGGACCACCCUAGUAGAUUGCAAUCUUUUAUCUUCUUUUCUUUUUCUUUUGAGUGGGUGUGGUCAGCGAGAAUUAAUUAUUGAGAACAGACAAAUUGGCAAAACAGCUCUAACGGAGUGAAGUAUCAAUUCUUGCACCCUUCAGUAGCGAAAAAACAAUUGGGACAAGAUGUAUUAGUAAGUAGAUUGUAACUUAGAAAAAGAAAGACAUGAAUUAAAUAGUAAAUCAAUAACUAUUUGAAACAGUUCCAACCAAUUCCCCUCUACACAUCCCACCCAAGCCGCAACCCUAAUUCAAACAGAUGUCACCGGAAUAACCACCCAAAACCCCCAACUCGUGAACUCAAAAAUUGCCGACAACUAAUCCUCCGAUCCCACCCGCCAUCAUGGACUGUCACCGUUCGACUCCCACAAUCCAGGCGUCCAAUCUGACGAUGGUAUUUCAACAAAAAGUAGAGAAACAAUCGAUGCAGCUUUUGGGAUUUCAAGUCCCGAUCUUUGGGUGGGGUGGGAUUCGAUUUCUGGCCUUUAUAGAGAUGAAUUUGAUUUUUAGUUUCAUAUUGAACGUGGUGGGCAUGGGUGGCAGGGGCUAGUGAUUUUUCUUGGUUUGAUUUUCAAGAUUGGGGGUUAGUUUUCUUUGUUUGAUUUUCGAAUGUACAAUGGGUUGGAAGGUGGUGAUGGAGAGUGCCGGCACUGGUAGUGCGUGGGUGUGGGUCGAAGAUGGCAGCCUGAUUACGAGUUCUUUCUGUCUAGGAGAACCUAGUAAUUUCGUUUAUGUACUUAUUUCUAAUUUCUCGUGUGGUACUGACUAGUGCUAAUGCUUAUUCAGCGUUGUAUAGCAAUUGGUAAACCGAGGUAGUAGCUCAACAGCAUACUUUCAUUUUUGCAGUUUAGCUAUGUAGAUUAUUUCAAAGUUAGCUUUUUUUCCCCCCUUUAUCAUAUUUUGAUUUGGAAGGUGAAGACUAUAAAACCGAUAAGAAUUAUCUGUGGCUAUGUGGCUAUCACGACCAGUAGCGUUUGUUAGUUUGGACACAUUUUGGCAUGUUUAAUACUAGUUCAGAGAAAACAAAAUUAAAAUAGUGUUCACUAUACUUUUCAAUCAACAAGUCGUAUCUAAUACUGUGUGGUAAAUAUGCACUUAUUGUGCAAGUUUUGAAGGAUACGAGGUGAGGAGGAAAUUGUGUAAACAUGUUUGCCAUUGCUUCUUUUAUCAUUAGGUAUUUUCUCUAGAUUUUCUUGAUGUUGACAUAAUCAAGUUUCUUCUAUGUUUUUACCUUUAUAGUUAAGCCAAACAAGUUUUACAAAUAUUUUCUUAGAUAGUCUUAGAAUUAAUGGUUUGUUUGAUUACAUUUAUUUUCCAUGGAAAAUAUCAGUUUUCCACCCAAAUUCCUACUUUGAGUGUUUGAUUGCUAUUUUUUUCCAUGGAAAACAUUUUCCAACUUUUGAAAAUAUGCCUAAUUUUCCUUGUUUUUAAGGAAAACAUUUUCUUUGAAUAGAGGUGAUUUUUAUUUUCCAUAAAAGAUGAAAAACAUUUUCUUUUCUAGGUGAUAUUUUCCAUGUUAAUCAAACAUGCUCUUAGUUGAAAAAAUAAUUUUUCUUGUAAAGUAGGACCCAAUAGGUCGAAGACUUGGUAAGGGUCAAGUCUUCGAAUUGUUGCCCAUCACAAUAUUUUUGUUAUAUUUUUCAAUGAAUCCAUAUUCUUCCACGAUCCUGGGGCCGCCUAUUAUUAUGUGGGUGAUUNNNNNNNNNNNNNNNNNNNNNNNNNNNNNNNNNNNNNNNNNNNNNNNNNNNNNNNNNNNNNNNNNNNNNNNNNNNNNNNNNNNNNNNNNNNNNNNNNNNNNNNNNNNNNNNNNNNNNNNNNNNNNNNNNNNNNNNNNNNNNNNNNNNNNNNNNNNNNNNNNNNNNNNNNNNNNNNNNNNNNNNNNNNNNNNNNNNNNNNNNNNNNNNNNNNNNNNNNNNNNNNNNNNNNNNNNNNNNNNNNNNNNNNNNNNNNNNNNNNGAUGGCAAAAUGAAUGUUGUAAUUAAGAUGGUACCUAUCGUAUAGUUUGGAGGAUUGUAUACUAUUAAGAGUGAAAAAUACUAAUUUUCUGUCAAUAUGAAAAAUAUCACAGACCAAUCUUGUCUAUGAUUGUGACUAUUUAGGUGACAUUUUGUCUGUUUUGCUGCAAUAUUUGAAUUCAACUCAAUGUUUGAGUGGCAAAUUGAAAAGUAAAAAUAAAUCAGUGGGUUCCAAGUUAUUUUCAAUUUUCUAAAUGCAAAUUCAACUAUGGACAUAUAUCUAUCAUCUUUUCACAUUUCUUUUUAUAUGUUAUGAAGUUGAUUGCUCAACUAGUGUGAAGAUUGAUCAAGAUUCAUUCCAAGUGUGAACUAAUGCAAUUUAAGAUCUAUAAGAAAAGAUGUUGAUUUAGAGCAUGCUCUAUUAAUCUUAAAGAUCACUUUUAAGUUACUUUUAUGUGAUAACUUACUUUUUUCUUCUUAUUUUUAAAUAUAUAUUUAUUUUGAAAGUAACUAUUGUCAACAAGUUGAAUUUGGUUUUGAAUGCCUCUCAAUUUGAGAGUUGCGUUGAUUACAUAGGUGGAUUAUUACUCAUUACAAGGCUGAGAAUCAGCCAUUACCUACAUCUCGUUUGGGUAAAGAUGGAAUAUGUAAUAAUUACAAAUAUCACCUAUAAAUAAUAAUAUUCCCUAUCCUGCUAAUACUCCCCUCAAAUUGAUGUUGGUUUGUCAAGAAGCAUCAAUUUGUUCACAAGAAAUUGAUGACACUGUCGAGUCACUGCCUUUGUAAAAAUAUCAGCUAUCUGAAGGGUAGUGGAAAUAUGAAGAAGAGAAAUAACACGAAUACCCAAGGCCUCUUGAAUAAAAUGACAAUUCACUUCAAUAUGUGUUUCGCGCGGGUAGUCGCUAACAAUUAAAAAGGGAUCAGACGAUUGUGUAAGGAACAAACCUCUUAAAACAAAGUCCCAAAAAAGGGUGUUUUAUUAGCGAUGUUUUACAAUUGAAACUAAAUAGAAUGCCUCCAAGGGGCGCAAGCACACGAGUACUAAAAGAAAUAUUUAAGUUUAAACUAAGAAAUUGAAAUGACAUAUUCUCUAUUUGAGAGUGUUUAAUUCGGGGUCUUUUGCUCUAUGUCUUCUCUUCCUUUCAUAUUCCCUUGAUGAUUUUUUCGUGAUCAAUCGCUUAAAAAUUGCUCGAUUACUUUAUAACUACCCUCUUUAUUUAUGGUGUCUAACUUGUCGUGGAACUGCCGUCUCUAACUGUUGCUACUACUCUUUGUCGUUCAAUCGUUUUUAACUGAACUUCUUAAAUCGUGGAACGUGAUAAGAUUACCCAAUAACUGCUUCAAUAACUGCACUUCUGGAUAACCAUAACAUCUUAUGUUUGCUAAGAUCCUGGGCGAUUCGAAGGUUUGGGCGAGAACAUGGUCAUAGCUUUGGACGACUAUAAGGCACUUCAUUCGCUCAGAUCUUGGGCGUCUUGCAAGCUUGGACGAUAAUGUUACCGCGUUCGUGGACUUCCAUUGCAUUCAUUAAUAACUCUAUCUGGGCCUUUAUCCUGAAUUGCCCAAUUUGGCUUCAUUUUUUGGACUAUUUGAUUUGGGAAUUCCCCAAUUGGACUUCAUUCCUUGGACUUUUCGAUUUGGGCUGCACUUUUAGUGUGUCAACAAUAUGUUUUGUACAUUUAUGGUAAAUAGGGUUAGCAGCAAUCUGAAUUGCACUUGUGUUAUCAGCAUGGAGAGGAGUAGGAGUGGAUUGAGGAAAAUCAAGUUCAGCCAGGUUAGCAGCAUGUAGAGUGAUGAUGAAUAUAUUUUCCACUGCCUUUGACACUAUGCAAGAUUUUAAGACAAGUUACUUGACCUUUGCUUUAACCCGUUUAAUGUUUGUGAGCCAUGUGAUUAGCACUGCAAUGAGACUUCUCCUUGUGUCUUUUGGAUUUUCUACAAAACGUUUCCUGAUCUUAGGCAUCCUACAAGUGAAUAUCCCGCUCCCUUCGCUACUUUCUACUAUAACAUGGCUAAACUCGGGGUUGAAGGCUUCUUAGCGCUACUGAAGGAAUACCCUAAGCUAUGGUACGGAUUUUUUGCUGCAUCCAUUUUCAUCAACUUAAUAAGAGAUGCUCUGGGAAAGAAAUGUCUGUGGUUUAUUCCACUUCCAAUGACAAUGGCGAUACCAUUUUAUUUGGGUUCCUACUUUUCCAUUGAUAUGUGUGUUGGUAACCUCAUACUCCGUGUGUGGCACAAGAUAAACAUAGACAUGACAGAUGCCUUUGGGCCUGCAGUAGCUUCAAUUUUGAUUUGUGGAGAUGGCAUCUGGGCUCUGCCUAAAUUUAUACUAGAUCUAGUCGUGAUGAAACCUCCAAUCUGUCUGAAGUUCCUGUCGAGGGCUACAAACACUAAGGUAGAUAAGUACUUGGGAUCCUUAAUAUGCUGGGGUUAAAAAUUAAUUUGUAUCAUAACAAGUAUCGCCUUCAUAAUUCAAAAAGGAUUAUCCAGUAUAGAUACAUAAAAGAACAAAUUUAUGUUUAUGUAAUAUGGACG